RNAcentral lists this ribosomal RNA (460 nucleotides) under uncultured bacterium. RNAcentral's name for it is "partial 16S ribosomal RNA". It matches the Rfam family "Bacterial small subunit ribosomal RNA", at positions 338 to 795 of the family's 1533-position model. The record is from RNAcentral.
CCUACGGGUGGCAGCAGUGAGGAAUAUUGGUCAAUGGACGUAAGUCUGAACCAGCCAAGUCGCGUGCGGGAUGACGGUUCUAUGAGUCGUAAACCUCUUUUAUACGGGGGUAAAGUGCGGGACGUGUCCCGUUCUGUAUGUACCUUAUGAAUAAGGAUCGGCUAACUCCGUGCCAGCAGCCGCGGUAAUACGGAGGAUCCGAGCGUUAUCCGGAUUUAUUGGGUUUAAAGGGUGCGUAGGCGGCCUGUUAAGUCAGCGGUGAAAGUCUGUGGCUCAACUAUAGAAUUGCCUGUGAAACUGGUAGGCUUGAGAAUGUUUGAGGUAGGCGGAAUGUGUGGUGUAGCGGUGAAAUGCUUAGAGAUCACGCAGAACCCCGAUUGCGAAGGCAGCUUGCCAAGCCAUGACUGACGCUGAGGCACGAAAGCGUGGGGAUCAAACAGGAUUAGAUACCCUUGUAGUC